This 852-nucleotide ribosomal RNA is filed under the name Triticum aestivum (bread wheat). RNAcentral's name for it is "partial small subunit ribosomal RNA". The record is from RNAcentral. Lineage: Eukaryota; Viridiplantae; Streptophyta; Magnoliopsida; Poales; Poaceae.
AUGCAGUUACAGCUCGAGGAUGAAAGGAUAAGAAAGAAGAAGUGUGAUUUCCCAAGGAGAAAGGAGUUUGAACGGCGUCAAAAGGCUGCCUGUGUUCAACGAAGUGAUCGGGAUGUUGCUCAAGCUCCUGAAGGUGUAGGUGAUGAAGGUGGUGACGCGGCCUUUUCAACUGUUGAUGCUGGAUCUCAUGGAAGUGACAUGCCUGUGAAGACAAACCUGAUGCAAACUCGUUUGACGCAAGUGUUUACUCGUGAUGCAGUUAAGGAGAAGAAAGCUGUUUUGAAGAGGAAGAUGUCAGAUCGAAAUCCUGAUGGCACACAGAGGCGUAGCCCACAUGUGAAAGCUGGUUCCCAACCUGGUAAUAGCAAAGUUGAUGGGGAUAGUGUUGCUGUGAAGAUUGGUCCAAGCAAACUUGGUGGCUCCCCUGUUCGUCGUAGUCCACGGGUUUGGACAAAUAAGAAGCCUUCUUUGCCUCCUCUUCGAGAGCGCUCUUUGUUGAAAGAAAAUAAUAAGCGUAAAGUUCAUCAUGCGAAGGUGAACAAAGGUGUGAAGAAGCGUGCUCGUGUCGAAGCUGAAGAUGUUGUAUCUGAAGAAGAUGAUAUCAAAGUUGAUUUUGAAGAUGAAUUUGCAGUGCCUGUUAGCGUUAUGAGUCCGGUGAAGCUGGUGGGACGCAAUGCCGGAAAAGUUGCCUUGGAGGAAGGUGACCAAUGGAAAUUGAACUUAACUGUGCGAUGUUCGUUGGGAGAGGUUGAAGCUUGUGCUAAAUUGCUUGAGAGUCGGGUGAAGUCUAACAUUUCCUGCCCUCUGAUGGGAGUUUUGUACCUGAGGAUAGAUCCUGAUACUGACUCUUGA